RNAcentral lists this ribosomal RNA (253 nucleotides) under uncultured bacterium. Its description in RNAcentral is "partial 16S ribosomal RNA". It matches the Rfam family "Bacterial small subunit ribosomal RNA", at positions 524 to 776 of the family's 1533-position model. The record is from RNAcentral.
UACGUAGGGCGCAAGCGUUAUCCGGAAUUAUUGGGCGUAAAGAGCUCGUAGGCGGUUUGUCGCGUCUGCCGUGAAAGUCCGGGGCUCAACCCCGGAUCUGCGGUGGGUACGGGCAGACUUGAGUGCAGUAGGGGAGACUGGAAUUCCUGGUGUAGCGGUGAAAUGCGCAGAUAUCAGGAGGAACACCGGUGGCGAAGGCGGGUCUCUGGGCAGUAACUGACGCUGAGACGCGAAAGCGUGGGGAGCGAACAGG